Molecule: long non-coding RNA, 786 nt
Organism: Mya arenaria
Lineage: Eukaryota; Metazoa; Mollusca; Bivalvia; Myida; Myidae
Exons: 6
Source: RefSeq, a predicted model, not a curated record
ACAACCUUACCGAAGACCGAGUUGUUCAUGAGUUUGAAGAAGUUCUUCUCGAAAGCAGUCUUGGCUUGUUGUCGCAUUUUGGUGUUGAACUCAACGUAGGGUUUCAUGAAAGCCUCUUGUUGGAACUCUAAUACUUUAUGUAUUUUUUUUCAAUUUUAGACCGAGUUGGAGAUACAGUUGCAGGUUCCGAUAGUGAAGUACAUAAUUCUGUUUGUUUUCUAAAGUGGUGCGGACUUGGAGAGAGCGGUGUUCUUGCAGUAGAAGAUGGUGUAGAUAGCUGACUGUAGCUGUGCUCGUUCUGAAGUUGUGAAGUGGUGAGAAGUCCUGUUGUAUGAUCUACAUUGCUUGUUGAAGAGGAGCUUUGGGUGUCGCUGCUUGGAGGUCGAAAGACAAUCAACGUCUGAGAGGGAAAUAUGUUGGUGCGCAAUUUAUACAACUUGUUUGAAUGUGGGCUUACAUCAACGACAGCAAGACUUUGCGAUCGACACUCUACUCUGUCAAAUGGAUAUUUAGCUGUGCUGUUUUUCAACAACUCUGCAUGAGCUACAAUAAGAGCUGGAUUGACUCUUACCUUCUUUGCUAUUCGCUUUUCGCUUGAUUUACAAUUUGCUGUGUGGGGGAAGUCACGUUCAAUGCCAAGUCACUGCUCUCUGCGGAAGCCUUAUGAGAUCAUCCGGGGAUAUCGCCAUAUUGAAAACCCGCCAGAGGUUCGGUCCACGUCCAUGGUGCUCGGGAUGAGUCAUUGGAGGACGAAGAUCGGGUGUCCUUAUGCUGCCAUGAAAUGUC